This is a non-coding RNA of Podarcis muralis (Common wall lizard), 853 nucleotides long. The record is from RefSeq and is a predicted model, not a curated record. NCBI's taxonomy places the organism in Eukaryota, Metazoa, Chordata, Lepidosauria, Squamata, Lacertidae.
AAACCGGAACACUUACUUCCAGGUUUUUGGCAUUUGGGAACCAAGGUACCACUUUAUCCCAGAAUCCCCUGCAAUUGCCCUGGGCAUCGGUGACAAGACAACCUGUGUGGGCAGGCAAGCGGAUGUGGAAAACUUUGAAAACCUCUGACACAGUAUGAUGUGGACCAAUGUCUUUUUUUUAACACCAACCCUGCAGGGAGGACCUGGGCCUGAGAGAGAGGCAGGCCUCAAAAGCAGCUCCAGGCUUUGACAAAUGACAUUCCAGUCCUGCUCCUGCCAUGCUCCUUUCCCGGGCAGAUGCCGACAACAACACAAUUCCACAGUCAAGAUUUAGUUAACUGGCGUAGCCUUGGCAUGAUGAUUUUUACCAGUGGCACUCCAGUGGCGACCAGAACAAUGCUUGGAGAAUUUACCCUGGCAGGGAGCGGUCAUGAUCAACAAUGUUAGAAGCUGCCUUGUGCCGGUUUGAGGCCACUGGUCCCUUUCUAGCUUAGCACUGUGCAAUCGGCUCAGAAGCAUCUCUCCAGGAGCUGCGGCAGUCAGAGACAUCUUCCCAGCUGUGAGACCUCAGAUCUGUAGAUGGCAGGACUGAACCUGGGGCCUUUUUCACUCUGAGAAGGUGUCCUGACCCCAAGCUUUGGAGAAUUUAGUUGAAAGUAAAAGAAAUGAGCUCUACAUUUCUGUUUGGGACUCUCCCCCCGCCCCCGCCCUGCUUUUGGCACAAUUUUAAGCCUUGCUUGUUUACCCCUCCAGAUAUGUUAAUUAAAGUGUGUGAUCUCGUGCCAUAUCAGAAGAUACAAAAACGAGUGUUUUAGCCUUAUUGCAGCAUUAAUUAAAAAAUGUGAGAUUGAAA